Molecule: ribosomal RNA, 421 nt
Filed under: uncultured bacterium
Lineage: Bacteria
Description: bacterial SSU rRNA
Rfam family: Bacterial small subunit ribosomal RNA
Source: RNAcentral
UGAGGAAUAUUGGUCAAUGGGCGGGAGCCUGAACCAGCCAAGUCGCGUGAAGGAAGAAGGAUCUAUGGUUCGUAAACUUCUUUUGCAGGGGAAUAAAGUGCAGGACGUGUCCUGUUUUGUAUGUACCCUGAGAAUAAGGAUCGGCUAACUCCGUGCCAGCAGCCGCGGUAAUACGGAGGAUCCGAGCGUUAUCCGGAUUUAUUGGGUUUAAAGGGUGCGUAGGUGGUUUGAUAAGUCAGCGGUGAAAGUUUGCAGCUUAACUGUAAAAAUGCCGUUGAAACUGUCGGACUUGAGUGUAAAUGAGGUAGGCGGAAUGCGUGGUGUAGCGGUGAAAUGCAUAGAUAUCACGCAGAACUCCGAUUGCGAAGGCAGCUUACUAAGCUACAACUGACACUGAAGCACGAAAGCGUGGGGAUCAAAC